CAGCCCUUGCCGGAAGUAGAAGCUAGUUUUGUAAGAGAAGCUGUUUUAAGAGAAGUUGUUGUAAGAGAAGCUGCAAGAAGGAUGGAGGAAGAAGAAGCUGCUGGGGAAGAGAGCUGUAAGAGAAAAAGCCUGAAGUAAAGAAGUUGCUGUGUGAACCCGCCUUGGUGUCCAUGUUGUUCCUGUCUCUGUGGGUGGCGAGGACAGUGACAGAAGGCUGUUGAUUACACGGGUGCAAAAAGGAUACAGGCUAAACUGAGUCAGCAUCAGCCCAAUGCUGCUAUCAGCUAGGGAUUGACAGUGGAAAAUGGGACUGGAAAAUUCUAAAUAGGCAUUUGUCCAGAGUCAAGAACUGCAUCAGGUCUUUGGCCACCAACCCAUGAGGGUAGACAGAAGCCAUGAGCAGGAUUCAGAUGGCCAUGAGUAUGAUGGAGGAACUUCCAGGAGUGAGCUUCAGUGAGAACACUACUUCAUUGUUCCAGAUGUGAGGACAUGAAGAGUCUCAGCUGCUCAUGCCUUCCACCAGCACAGAGCCUUCCCACCAUGCCUUCCACUACCAUGGAGCCUUGCCACCAUGUCUUCCACCAGCACAGAGCCUUGCCACCAUGGCUUCCACCACCAGGGAGCCUUCCCACCAUGCCUUCCACCACCAGGGAGUCUUCCCACCAUGCCUUCCACCAGCACAGAGUCUUCCCACCACCACUGUGAAUUGUUUCUCCUCAAAUUGUGGGCCAACAUAAGCCACUUACUUCCUAAGGGCUUUGUGUCAAAGAGAAAAGCAAACCAAAUGCACUUAUUAUUUAAGAUUCCAAUGAAUUGCCUCAGAAUUACUGUUGGACAGAGACUGUAAUUCCCUGUCCAUGUUAAAAGAAAACAAUGCAGUUUUAAGAAGCAUGUUCAAAAUUUGUCCAGGUUAAAAAAAAAUCAUAGUCAAUUGUAUCCAGUUGCUUGCUCAGAAUCCUAGCUGGAUCAGAGACUCAGCCUUCUAAACAACAAACUAACACUAAGUGGCAUAGAUCAGUGACGUAGCCUUGAAAAAGAAAGCUUUAUCAUUUAGUUUGCUUGAACCUAAAUAAAAGUGUUUGGGGCAAAGAUUAUAUGUUAUCUAAAGAGAAAGCAAAUCAUUACUUUCAUUAAUUUUUUCUCCUGAGCUAACAUUUUAGAAAUGCUAAUGAUAUUUGAGUUCAAGUGGUAUUAAUUGAAGGAAUACUUAGUUGGGAGAGUAAUCAUGGAGUUUACACAGUUGUUUAUUUUUAUCAAACAUUAAUGAACCUGUAGCUGUAGGUCACAUGAAGCUGACUUCUGACAUGAAGAUUAGUCAGGUGCUCUUGCCAUCCUCAAGGCUUCUAAUCUAGCAGAGAUACCCCAGAAGCCCUCUUUAAAGUAGGAGAAUUGUUUCCAUAUCUGGUGAUCAGGUCAGGAGAAAGAUGCAGAGUGUAGCUGGCAUGGACUGUUCCUUCUGUUAGCUUUCCACUGUUCUUUUCUUCGUAAACUCCAGCCACCCAAGGAAUAAGACCUCAGAGAACUCAUGGGCUGGUGCCACCAGGACAUCCAGGUUUACCUGCAGUGCUUUUUGGAGUCCUUGGUAGUGAAAAUACUUGCUAACUUCCUGCAGUUAUUGAUUCAUUUUAUAAGUAGGACUGGCCCACUCUGAUAUGAUGACCCCUUGCUUGGUCUUUUCUAGAUGUAUUUCUCGAUCCCAAGCGUCACAGGGAUUGGGAUAAUACAUAAUGAACAAAAUUCUACAAUCGAUCCAUUAUUAGAAUGUAAUUCACUGGAAUGAGGCAAGAAUGUUCCUACCCAACUAGCCAAAGGGAUAACAAAGUAGAAAGUGUUUGAGUCUGGACAUGGGAUAGCUAGGCCACAAGGUAGGAGUGAGCCAAAGACCCAUAGGAUGUAGUAUCAGUGGAUAGGAUCAGACCCCAAAUGGCAAGGCCAAGGAGAGAACAACAAUUCCAGUCAGAUAUUGCAAAUACUAGGACUGGAAACAAAGGCUGUGGCAGGAAGAAGUCCACAGUCUGUUCCACUCUGGAACACCCACUGUACCCAGCACAGGCUCCCUGUGAACAAGAGUACUCUUCUUGGUCCACUAAGUGGCAUCCCUAGGGUAAGCCUUUCAUUCUUUUCAUGAUGCUCCUAACAAAAGAUCAAAUAAAAAGCCAAGUCACAGGGUCCUGGAACAAGACUUUCAACAAUGUAAUUGCAGCAGUUGAAGCUUUAGUGUGUGUGUUUAUGUUUACAAGGUGUUUGUGUGUGUGUGUGUGGGGGGGUGUCAGGGGAUAACUUGUAGGAAGUGGUUCUUGUUUAACAUUUGGGGGCAAACACAGAUCCUCAGGCUUGGUAGCAAGUGCUUUUAUCUGAGCCAUCUUGCCAGAUCUGCUUAUUUUUAAGAUGACUUUAAUUCUGCUUCUUUCACUUUCUCUACAUGUGUUCUUCAACCUAGGAUGAAGGUGAGGCAUGGAAUCUUCAGAAAUGUCAUGUCACAUGGAAAGCUAAUUAAUUUAAUGUGGUGGUGGUCACAGAAAGUAAUACAACUGAGCAACAGAGAGGAAGGAAAGGAAAUAUCAUGUUGGAGUUAAGAGUAUGGGCUUUAGACACACCAUUUAGAACUCCAGGGUUCCUGUCUCAAAGUUGUGUGUGUGUGUGUGUGUGUGUUGUGUUGCAUGGGUGUAUGUUCUAGGUAUAUGUCAUGGGCUUACAUGGAAGGUGGUCCUCCAGAGAUGGCCAUCUCUAUUACACACAACAACAUAUCUUUACAGGUUUCCUUUUAUAGGACUUGAGAAAGUUGCUAGCUGCGACAGUGAAUCCAACUGUGACCCUGGCAGCUCUUCUCCAUACAUUGUACUCUAGGAAGCAUCUAACACAGGAUGGGGAGUAGAUAGGAAUGUGCAGUUUGGGUAAGUGGGCUGUGGCAGCCUAUAGUGGUAACGGCCCAGUCCCUCUGCUCUCUCAUUGUAGACAUUUGCUUUCUGCUCUUAUUUCUCAGACUACAAUGAUGGAAUCAGAAGCAGAGAUAGAAAUGCACAUGCAUCCAGGGUUGGUGGGCAUGGGAGUGCAUUUUCCUUCGGCUUAGGGGGCCUGGAGGAAAGUUUUAUGGAGCCCAGAGGAGGAAAGGCUCAACUUUCGUCGUUGAGAAGUGAGUGUGGAAACAGUCUCUCCAAAAUGCCUUUUCCUUUUCUUCCCCUCUAAAAUAACCAAAUUUGACAUUCUCACCAAAGGCAGCUUAGUUACUGCUGCUUCUAGAGACCUUGUCCUCCUCUAGGAACAGGUGCCUGUGGACCAGAGACUUUUCUGAGAAGCCCCCACAGGAUUGCUGUCACGUUUGCAGCAUGGUCUGAGUUCUGCAGUUUUGUAAGGCCAAAGCAUGAAAGACAAACGAGGGGCUGCUGAGGCGUCCACACAAAAUGGCAGUUAUGAUGAAGACGCUGGUAGACGUGGUGUCUGUUCUGUGCUUUGGGAGGACAGUCAGUGAGCUGCAUGCCUGGACCUUCAGGUGGGUUUCUUUAACUGAGGACUUGCCUGUGGUCAGAUUUGACUCAGUACAAUUCUGCUAUUCCUUGCUGUGUUGUCUGACUUAAAAAAUCCCCUCAACUCAGUUCCAUAGCCAAGGCUGGGAGGAAGAAUCAGAGAGGCUUCACCGCUGGCUGCCACUCUGUGCAGCCUUUCCAGUGGAGGUUACCCCUGGUUUAAACUGUAAAACCUAAAUCACUUUAAACAAAUGACAAAUUUUAAAAUCCAUUUCUGAGCAAGAACUAUCUGCUUUUAUGAUUUGGAUAACUACUGAAUUGUAAUGGAUUUUCUUUCAGAUUUAUAUUCUGUUCUUUACUUACUAAGCAACCAAGCAAGUUCUUAAAAAAACAGAUUGGAUUGGGUAAUCAAAAGGUUUUAUUCAAUAUGCAACCCACCUUCUCCUGUGAUAAUAGGAACAACUAAUCUCUACUUUUAGUAGUGUUAGUGCAAUACACUUAUGUACUUAUGUGCUUAUCUAUACAUGUAGCUCUAUAUGCUUAAGUAAUACAUGUACCUGUGUAUUUAAGAAACUACCACAUAUAGACUGCCCAAUGCUACUGAUGUA
Molecule: long non-coding RNA, 4072 nt
Organism: Mus caroli (Ryukyu mouse)
Lineage: Eukaryota; Metazoa; Chordata; Mammalia; Rodentia; Muridae
Source: RefSeq, a predicted model, not a curated record